GAGGGUAGAGCUCAGUGGUAGAAUGCGUGCUUAGUGUGCAUGAGAUCCUGAGUUCAAUCCCCAGUACCUCCA
Molecule: transfer RNA, 72 nt
Organism: Camelus ferus (Wild Bactrian camel)
Lineage: Eukaryota; Metazoa; Chordata; Mammalia; Artiodactyla; Camelidae
Rfam family: tRNA
About the family: Transfer RNA (tRNA) molecules are approximately 80 nucleotides in length. Their secondary structure includes four short double-helical elements and three loops (D, anti-codon, and T loops).
Source: Rfam